GAGCAAACAGGAUUAGAUACCCUGGUAGUCCACGCCCUAAACGAUGUCAACUGGUUGUUGGGUCUUCACUGACUCAGUAACGAAGCUAACGCGUGAAGUUGACCGCCUGGGGAGUACGGCCGCAAGGUUAAAACUCAAAUGAAUUGACGGGGGCCCGCACAAGCGGUGGAGCAUGUGGUUUAAUUCGAAGCAACGCGCAGAACCUUACCAGCCCUUGACAUACCAAUCGCGGUUAGUGGAGACACUUUCCUUCAGUUCGGCUGGAUUGGAUACAGGUGCUGCAUGGCUGUCGUCAGCUCGUGUCGUG
This 307-nucleotide ribosomal RNA is filed under the name Asterionellopsis glacialis. RNAcentral's name for it is "partial Bacterial small subunit ribosomal RNA". It matches the Rfam family "Bacterial small subunit ribosomal RNA", at positions 766 to 1069 of the family's 1533-position model. The record is from RNAcentral. Lineage: Eukaryota; Bacillariophyta; Plagiogrammaphyceae; Rhaphoneidales; Asterionellopsidaceae.